This 405-nucleotide long non-coding RNA is filed under the name Vulpes vulpes (red fox). RNAcentral's name for it is "lncRNA (ENSVVUG00000001794.1)". Lineage: Eukaryota; Metazoa; Chordata; Mammalia; Carnivora; Canidae. The record is from RNAcentral.
CGUGACUCCCCGCCGCGCGGGCUGCCUCUGACGCCGGCCGCCGCUGCUCCCCGCUCGUCCCCUCCGUGGAGGCAGGGCCGCUCGGGCUCCUUCCGCGAGGACGCCUGUGCCUCUCUCCACCAGGGUAUCAGCCAGGGCCAGAAGACAGCAAGAUCAAAAUGGAAGCCAAUACAGCAAACAGAAGAAGAAUUCAGGAGCAUCUCUCCAGAAAUAAGACAUUGUUUCUCCCUAUUUCCUGGACCAAAAGGCUGCUCUUGUGUUUGUUUGGAAACAAAACAUAAAACCAAACUGUAAUGGAAUUCUGUUGGCUUAUACAAUUAAAAAAGAAGAAUCAGGGUGAACUUCAGACAAGUUUUUAUCUACAGCCCAGUGAUGCCCUCCAGUACCCUGCCUUCCUCAUUGUUG